GCUACCAUAUACCCAGAGAAUUCGUGGCUAACGGACACAGGCAGCAAACUGACGUCAUCUGCACCGGGACCCAGGAGGAAGGUGCUCCUGUCGCGGUC
Long non-coding RNA from Neomonachus schauinslandi (Hawaiian monk seal), 98 nucleotides. RefSeq lists it as uncharacterized. The transcript has 3 exons. NCBI's taxonomy places the organism in Eukaryota, Metazoa, Chordata, Mammalia, Carnivora, Phocidae. The record is from RefSeq and is a predicted model, not a curated record.